AGCUCGUGUCGUGAGAUGUUGGGUUAAGUCCCGCAACGAGCGCAACCCUUGUCCUUAGUUGCUACGCAAGAGCACUCUAAGGAGACUGCCGGUGACAAACCGGAGGAAGGUGGGGAUGACGUCAAGUCCUCAUGGCCCUUAUGGGUAGGGCUUCACACGUCAUACAAUGGUCGGAACAGAGGGCUGCCAACCCGUGAGGGGGAGCUAAUCCCAGAAAACCGAUCGUAGUCCGGAUCGUAGUCUGCAACUCGACUACGUGAAGCUGGAAUCGCUAGUAAUCGCGGAUCAGCAUGCCGCGGUGAAUACGUUCCCGGGUCUUGUACACACCGCCCGUCACACCAUGGGAGUGGGUUUUACCAGAAGUGGCUAGUCUAACCGCAAGGAGGACGG
This 390-nucleotide ribosomal RNA is filed under the name uncultured Burkholderia sp. RNAcentral describes it as "bacterial SSU rRNA". It matches the Rfam family "Bacterial small subunit ribosomal RNA", at positions 1057 to 1453 of the family's 1533-position model. Lineage: Bacteria; Pseudomonadati; Pseudomonadota; Betaproteobacteria; Burkholderiales; Burkholderiaceae. The record is from RNAcentral.